CCUACGGGUGGCAGCAGUGGGGGAUAUUGCACAAUGGGGGAAACCCUGAUGCAGCGACGCCGCGUGUGGGAAGACGGUCUUCUGGAUUGUAAACCACUGUCCCCAGGGACGAAAAUGACGGUACCUGGGGAGGAAGCUCCGGCUAACUACGUGCCAGCAGCCGCGGUAAUACGUAGGGAGCAAGCGUUGUCCGGAAUUACUGGGUGUAAAGGGAGCGUAGGCGGGGAUGCAAGUUGGGUGUCAAAACUACCGGCUCAACCGAUAGUCGCACUCAAAACUGCAGCUCUUGAGUGAAGUAGAGGCAGGCGGAAUUCCUAGUGUAGCGGGGAAAUGCGUAGAUAUUAGGAGGAACACCAGUGGCGAAGGCGGCCUGCUGGGCUUUUACUGACGCUGAGGCUCGAAAGUGUGGGGAGCAAACAGGAGUAGAUACCCGGGUAGUC
RNAcentral lists this ribosomal RNA (440 nucleotides) under uncultured bacterium. RNAcentral describes it as "partial 16S ribosomal RNA". It matches the Rfam family "Bacterial small subunit ribosomal RNA", at positions 338 to 795 of the family's 1533-position model. The record is from RNAcentral.